Molecule: long non-coding RNA, 25725 nt
Organism: Brassica rapa (field mustard)
Lineage: Eukaryota; Viridiplantae; Streptophyta; Magnoliopsida; Brassicales; Brassicaceae
Source: RefSeq, a predicted model, not a curated record
GGAAAUAACGAGGAAGGUCUACAAGUAAGGAGUCUAAUACACGACACCGUUCGAAUCGCAACCACAUCGAAUGAAUAGUUGUUGAAAAAAAGAAACUAUUACUAUCGCUCCUAGACUUGUAGUCAUCUUCAAGAUGCCGAAUUUGAAAAGUUCAUCGUCUCUAUUGCUCGUUAAGCCAAACAUAUAAGAUUAAGUAUGCAUAACUACCUAACUAUUCGAGGAGAAGAAAAAAUUAUUCGAGGUGAUUUUUUUCCUUAAAUUCAUAUUAAUGAUACAAAUUCCUCAAAUCUAAUCUCACUUGUAAUGCAUGUAACAUCACACAUCAGUCAAAGAUUUUGUUCUUGUAAUAAAACAAAGAUCAUCCUAAAUUGAAAGUCAUAAUCCAAAACGCAAAAAAGAAAAAUCAUAAAAAUUCGUGUUUCCAUCUCACGUAAGAGGUUUACGGAUGACCAGACGCAUCAUAUCUAAUCAAAGUUCAAAAAUAUUACACGAUGAUACUGAUAUUAUGUAAGAUAAUCUAAUCAAAAACACAAUCAAAUAAACACUCUAAUGGAUUCUUUUUGGCUAGUUAUUAAAUAUCCGAGUACUACAAUCUAAAUCUGCAUGUUUUCGUAUGGAAUAUAAACUACCAAAUUUACAAGGUGGCUUGUUUGAUAAUAUGCUUGAUCCGCCACUUUUUGAGGAGUCAAUUUACCUUUAAUUCCUUCAAAUUCGAUCUGACAAAUCAACAAAUACUUUGAUUUGAUGUUUCAUGAUUAAAGUAUGUAAUAUCAAAUAAUAUAUGCAAAGUAAAAUCUAACUAAUAUUCACAAACUCAAUUUGAAAAAAAAAUGCAAAAUAUAAUAUCAAUGGCGUCUUUUUUUUUACUGUAUGUUAUUAUAUAAUGGCGUCUUUAAAUAUCUAUAACUUAAGCAUAUUAACAUAAACUUGAUUAACAAAAAUUAUUUUAUUCUGAAUAAAUAUAAAACUGGCACCCGUAAUCUUGUAUCCCAUCAACAAUACGUUUUAUACAAAAUCUAAUUCAAAUCAUUUGAGAGUACCCUAUAUAAUAACAUACAGUAAAUGUUUUAUAAGUGUUAAAAUUAUGAUAUUUUAUUAAUAUAAUAAUUUAAAAUAGAUUUAUAUAUUUAUAAUAAUUUUUAUAUUUAAUAUAAAAGUAUUUUAAUAUUAUAUAUUUAUUAAAUUUGAUAGAUGUAUUUUAAUCUCUUUCUUAUUAUUUUUUAUUUUUAUGUAUAAAACAAUUUAUAAUAUAAAUGUGUUUUCAAUGUACUUUUACAAAAUAACCCUAAACUAUUAAAAUAAAAAUAAAACAAACAUUAUUUUAAAUUUUUAUAAAAAUUUAUGUAAGCUUUGAAGGUGGUAUUUUUGGUUACCAGCAUAAAAAGACUAGGUUAAGACUUUGCUAACUAAAUAUAGGACUGAAUGUCGAUGAAAACGAAGUAGGUUGGUUGACAUCUAACUCCACGUGCAAGACUGUAUGACUUUGUGUUUUGAGUCUUGGAUACAUGUGAGAUCGCGAAAGUUCCUACAUUCGUUGAAACUUUCUCUGAUUCGUUGAAUGGUUGGGUUCCACUCUACCCUAAUGAGAUUUGGCUUCCUUCACAAUGUUAAUUCUGUUUCCGCAAGUUAUCAUGUAUCUUGGAUCUCUAUCAAUUCUAUUUAAAAGCUUGUCGUUUUGCUCUUUCCAGAUGUACUAAAGAAUCCAGGCAAAUUAUGCAUCUUUAAGUGCGACGUAAUCCUCCAAAAUUAAUAAUCCAUGUUCAUGAAAACUGAACGCAAAAAGAAGCUACAUGGGUGUGUGGGUAUCCUUGAUAACAUCUAGAUCUGAACAACGGAUGCACAUUCAAAGAAAACAUGAUUUAUUGAUUCUUCUUUUGCUCUAUAUCUUUGACAAUGAAAUCACAUUCUAUUCCUCUUGAUUGAAGAUUCUUCCUGACUGGUAAACAACCUGAAUAAUUUGCCAAAAAAAUAUCCUACCCUUGGGGAACAUUUUAUUUUCCAUGUGUGUACCCGAAGGGUCUAUCAGGCCUGAAAACUAGUGUCUGUCUGGAUAGUAAGGACGGCCUAGAGAUUUCAGAGACUAUAGGCGAUUUAAUUAAGAUUUCAAUUAAAAAUUUAAACUUUAAAGGUUUUUCUAUAAAUUUGGGGGCAUAUGUCUAUGUAAUAUUUUUCAAAAUAGUUAGGGACUAGGUGAAUUUUCAUCCGAUUUUGCCUAAGACCAGCCUUGCUAGAUAGAGAUAUUCUAAUUAAUAUUCAGUUUUAAUCGUAUAUUUUCUGACUGUGUAAAAUAACAUACGUUUCUGUCUAACGUAGAAGAUUGACUUAACGGGAUACUUUCAAUAAGGGUUGUUGCUUCUGGUUCCAUCAGUGUCCUUAAAAUAUGAGAAUUUCACUUACGAAAUAUAGGGUUGAUGAGGAAUAUAUAUGGUAAUUGUUAAUUAUAAUUUUAUUGAAAUCAUAUAUUUACCUAAUUUCUUCUAAGAGUGUUAUUUUUAUAUUAUCAAAUUAUAUUAUAUUUUAAUUUGAAAAUUAAUUUAUCUCAAUUUUUAAUUUAUUGAAUAUUAUUUUAUUGAGUUUAUAUUGUAUGUUACUUAACUACACUUUUAGCUUUAUAGACCAUACUGUUUAAGUCAUAGUGCACCGUGCACCCAAACAGAAUUUCAGAACCAUAAGCCAUCGUAUGUUUAUACACUAUAAAAAUUUAUUAGAUUAAUUACUAGUUGUUGCAAGGUAGUAUAUAUAGUCCACAAGAAUGUCUCACUCUCUCGUCUCUCCCUAUCUUCUCGAAAACGUUGACCCAAGUGCGAACAAAGACUCCGGUCGUGGCUGCUCCUUACUUUUCUCUUGGGCGACUCUAGACUCAUGUGUGUUUUAUAUUUUUUUGUUUCUCUCAAUAAUUGUCUAAAUUUUUGGUACUCACAUAAUCAUGAAUAAUUGUCUAACUUUUGGUACUCACAUAAUCAUGAUAUAAUUUUUUAAUUAUUAGUUUAAUUUCAUUCUACCUCAAUUUAAUGUCCGACAAAACAUUUAGAUUUCAAAGUUUGAUCUUUUCCGUCUAUAUUAACAAACUAUAUAUUUUAUGGUUUGAGAAUUAUGUCUUAAAUUUAUAAAAUAAUGUAUUUAAACAUUUUCAUUACAAAUAUCAAUUUCAUAAUAAGUAUUAGUAUAAUUUUAAUUUUUAGUAAUUUAUGAUCCUUUUUAUCACACUUACACAUGUCUUCUAGCAAUAUAUCUUAUUAAAACAAAUUUGACAAAAUUUGAUCAGGCACAUUAAAAAUUUAAUCAAAAACAAAUUUGUAUAUAAAAUAAUAUAAAUAAGAAGUCAUUAUAUAGCUACAUGUAUUUAUAUAUUGGAAUCGACGAUAUCUAUACAAUUCAAAAUAUAUAAAUACAAUGGUCACACCAAAUACAAAGAAAUAAAUACCUAUUUUUGACAAAAAAGAUACUCACAUAUUUUUUUUGUACCCAAUGAUUUUUUUUGCAUUACACAUUCUUUCCUUACACAGUUAUUUGAGAAAAAAAAAUGUGUUUAAUGGUAGACUUUACAUUUAUAUUUAUGUUAGUAAAAAAUAGCCAAGGCCCACAUUAUGUUUUAUUUGCAACCGUAAGCGAAUUUUGGGUAAGUAAACAAUUUAGGUUUAGAAAGAAAAAAAUUAAUGGUUUAAAAAAAAUUAAGAGUUAAACUCAGUCUUCUAUUAGAACUUCCAUGAUAAUUAAAAAUCUCUAAGAAACAAGCCGGAAAUUUUAUGGUUUGCACAAUUAAACAUUUGUUCAUAAUCAGAAUGCUAAUUAAUGGAGGUAACAGCAUUUAAACAAAGUAUUGAUAUUAGAUUCUUUUUGUAUCAUUCUAAUUUUAUUUUGUUAAGAAGUGUUAAACAAACUAUUGUUUCACCACGCUAAAACUAAAAGUAAAAGCUAGGUUUCGAUUGGUAAUAAUGGUUAAUCACAGAAUCGCGGAAAAAGAUAAUUCAGCCGCAGAAAAUUAAUUAAGCUUCUGAAAAUUUUGAAAUCUGCUGAAAAAGUUGGGAAUAGUUUUCUAAACAAUUGGAUAAACUUUACGAAAUUACGGAAUAUAGAUUAUUUAAAAAAGAACUAAUACAUUAUUUAAUCUAUUGAAAAUUAAUAGCUAUAAAUAACUAAAUAUAAUUUUAUGAUAAAAAUACCAAUUAAAUCUAACCAAAACAUUUAUUUUAUCUUAACUAUUCAUCUUAUUCCAAAUACAUUCCUUAUAUACUAAAGAAUAAGUCACCUCACCACUAAAUUUCUGACACAUGGCAUUGCUUAACAAAAGUUUGUCGAUUAAAUUCUUUUAUUUCAUUCCCUAUUUUUUCUGCAACUCUAACUACUUAAAUUCCAAUUAUUUCGGAAUUUUCAUCCCAGGUUUCAAUUUUCUUCUUCAUUAUCAAACUGUUUUUUCUCUGUAUAAAUAGCAAUCGACUGAUGUCAAAAAAUAAAUAUAUCAAUCGACUAAGUUAUUCUCAAACUCCACCAGAUUGCUCUUCCUUUUUCUUCAUGUUCUCAUAGGUUCACAUAUGGUGGCUCUGCAACUUUUUAAACGAUCAAAAUAGACAAGAAUUUCUCAAUCUUUUUAUUGAUAUCCCUUUUUGUCUAUAUUCUCAUGGUUUUUAUGCUUAUCAUUUCUGAAAUAAUCUUUUUAGAAAUGAUUUAAUUACCACUGUACUUUUCCAUUGCUUCUAACAUCUUUUUGUGACAGUUAUUACAUUCUCACGAUGAUUUUUGAAAUCCUUUAAUUAACAGGGACGCCAGUUUCUCACCAUUUAUCAGUAAAUGAAGGAUUUCAAGAAUCAUCGACAAAAUUUGGAGCUAGAGAACAUUGCUAUAACCAAUAAGAAAAUGUAAAGAAAGAAUUCAGUAAGCAUCUUGAAUACUAUUGAGCAAUUUACGUCAGAAACAUGAGGUAACAAUAAGCACUUUUAUUCUAUUAUAAACAUAUUGUCGAUUUUUACUAAUCCAUUCGAUUUUUCUCUAUAUUCAUAGGAAAUUAUAUAUGAGUGAUGAUUUUGAUAACGUUUGGGAAAAAGAGGCAAAUAAAAAAUUUCAAAACUUUUUGAUUGGAUGAAAAUUAACAGCCACAACAAAAAAUGGUAAUGAGAAAAAUAUAGAGUACUUGGAAAUACUAGAAGUAAAAAUAUCUGAUUUUAACCCCUAUAAAUUAUUGCAAUUAAUAAUUUAAUUUAAAGAAGAUAAAGUAUAUUCACGUUACAGAGGGUGAAUGUUACAGAAAGUUAACAUUUUAUAUAAAUUGCUCUAUUUAAUUAUAAAAGAGACCACACAUUUUUUAAAUUUAAAAUACAAUAAAUUUGAUCCGUGCUUUAGCACGGGAGUAACACUAGUUAAUAAUAAUACAUUAACAUAUAUUUUAAAAUGAAGUUAUAUAUUAGUAUUGUGUAUUCCAUAAUUAUUCAUAAUUUAUAAUAUUUAGUUAAUAUUUUAAAAUAUUAUUUUCAUAUAAUUAAACAAUAUGAAAAAGUUGAUUCCACAAAAAAUUUACUAAAACCUCACCUUUUCAACUAAUGGAAUUUAUUUUGUAUUAUUGUCAGCGAAACACAAAAUCCGCGUCUUUGUGUUUUAUGUUGUAUUUCAAAAAAAAAAAUUGAUUGAUAAAUUCUUGUGGAAUUGCGGUUUUUAAUGUCAUUCCGCAUAUUACCAAUAAAGGCCAUAGUGUUUCAUACACGCCUUUUACCUUUCUUGGAUUUAAAUAAGAACAAAUUAGCUCAAUAUACUAAAAAAGUAGGAUACCAUAGAAUAGGAGGGAAAAUGGUAAUGAUGGGACGAAGAAAAUUGGAGGGAAAUAAGGUAUGGAGUGCAAAUGUGUCUGCUGGCAAAUGUCUACUAUAAAUUGAUCAUCACAUCCGUGUGGGUGUUUCAACACAUUUCACGGAGAUUAAAAAAAAUUGUAUACAUCCUCUGUAUACAAAUAUAUGAUAUUCUACCUUUUUAUCUUGUAUACAAAUGUAUGAUAUUUUAUGAUAUAAUUAAUUUAUUUAUCUUUAAAAAGAAACAUAAAUUAAAAACGAAAUUAUGAAUAGUGAAACUUUAUUGAUAAAAUCAAAAAGUAAUAACCAAAAGAGUAUAUCUAUUGUUUUUUAAUAUGUGUGGAAAACCAUAAACAUCAUAUAUUUGUAUUCAGUGGGAGUAACAAACUAUAAUGUAUUUAUUUAAUGUAUGCUUAAUUAAAUUAAAAUGGUUUAAAUAAAAAUAUAUUGGCUAUUCAAAACGGUAAAAGAUAAAUUUAAUGUAUAAUGUUGCAUGAAAAUGUAGAAUGACACCUUUUGUAAAACAUACAAAUAACAUAAAAUGACACACUUUGUGAAACAUAGAGAGUAUUUGUUUUCAACAAUUAGUGUUAUAUAUUUUAUAUGUGUCACCAUAAAAUUAAUUGUAUAUUGGUUAUUUGAAUAUUUUAGACGCCUAUACAUUAUAAUCACCCGAAUCGAAUAAGAUAAUAUGAUUGCGUUGGUUAUUUUGUUAUUCAAGUUAUUUUUAGUUUGGAUACAAAAUACUCAAACUGAAUCAGACAAUAUAGUUACUUUUUGUACAAAUAUCCUAACUCAUUUUAGACACAUAGGUUAUUUUUGAUAUUUUUAGGUUUCUACACAUCAGAACUGAAUUUACCUAAACAUAGGAUGACCCAACUAGAAACCCACCAGAAAAUUUAUAAUAUCGUAACGGAGCCUAAUUUCAAAACUCAAAAACCUAAUAUCCGAAAAGACAACACUUACCCAAUCGUAUAAGAGAAUAUCCAUAUCUAACUAAUUUUAUAAAGAUUUUUUUUUUUAAAUAAAUCUUUCUUAACCAUUUUGAAUUAUUGUCACAAAUAGAAUAAUUUAUUCAAAUAUGUCAAAUUUUCAUAGUUAACAUGUAAAAUAAAAUUAUGGUAAAAAUAAUUAAUGAAAUUUCUCUAAAAGAUAAAUUAUGUUUUGUAUUUCUGUAAUAAAUGAUGUUGGGUUAUUUAGAAAAUAAAAUAAAUGAACUAAUUAUAACUAGUGAAAAAGAAUGAAAAUAUGUAAAAUCCUACUUAAAAAUAUGCAAGAAAUAAUUAUUUAGUAAAAAAAAUUAUACUUUUUACUACGUUAUCUUCUUUAACAAAAAAAAAGAAGAAGAAGAAGGAAACAACCAUCAAUACUCAAACAUGCAUUUUCUAUCAUAUUUGAAUAUGGAUAGUGAUAUGCAGCAUUAUUACAAAAUACUGAAGAAUAAAUCUCGAUCUUGCAAUAAUAAACACCUUUUAUCGUAAAAAAUGAAGUAUGCAUUAUUCGACACAAGUCAGGCGGCCUAAUUGAUUUAUUGGGGUAACAAAAAAUGAUAUCUUCUUAUUUUAUUUAUAGAAUCUUGUUACUCCCAAAAAAAUUCCACAAAUUAAAUUAACAAAUAUUCUAUAAAUAACAAGAAGUUUACAUCAACAGCGCACCAGCUUUUUUUAAAAAAUGUACCACCAUGGCCAUGUUUUUGCAAAGUGUUUUUAAACCUUGACAUUGGGGCGGAUGGCGGCUUUGGACCCAUGCAUCUUUCGCAAAAAAAAAAAAAUUAUAUUCACAAACUUUUUAAACAUUAAGGUUUAAUCUCUACAUAAUCUUUAUACAUUCUUUCGAAAUAAUAGCUCUUUUAAUCAUUAAUCUUGCAUAUUAUUAUUAUUGGAUCUGAGAGCAAUUAUAAGAGUGCAGAUCGAUGUACUAAAAUUUUUUUUAGAAUUAAAUUUAGGGGUUUUGAUACCAUGUUAAAUGUUAUAACUUUCCAAAUUAAAAUUAAUUGACAGUAAAUGGACAAUAUUCCAAAUCUAUUACAUAUUGUUUAUGUCUAAGUAAAAUUCUCAAUGUGAUAAUUUAUAUUUACAUUUUCGGGUUAUGUGAAAGGCCCUAACCCAGUUUUCCUUACCGCCAGUACGACCCCAGUUCGCUUCCCUCGACCAAAUAAGGUCGAGGCCUGAUUUCUCCCAACACUUAGGAUUUUUAUCUAAUUUUCCUCUAUGAGGUUCAGUUCAGUUCACAGUGUUCGCUAAAUCUAUCCGGCAUCCUAGCAAUUCACUAAGACUGACAGUAUUAUAAACAUGUACCUUACUUCCUUGGUUGUCUACUUGACCAUCCAUACACUCCUGCCUUGCUAUCUUCAUGCUUCCCAUCCUUCUUAUCCAGUCAGCUCGAUCAGAUAUUUAACCGAAUCCCCUUGUUCCUUAGUCACUCAGCCAACCAUCCCCACGUGACAAGUAAACAGAAGAAACAGCUUGGUCUCCGACCAGCCAUCCAGUACAGAUAGUACGACAGUCUUGCUAGUGUUCCAGAACCAGUCACUGAUCAAGCCUAGAUCAGUCCGUCCAAACUCGGCCUUACCGGCCUUUAUCUAGUCAGUAACCAUACGCAUCAGCAAACUCGUGCCCCAUGCCAGACGAUCCUCAUCAGUACGUUACCACAUCGUUCCUCCAGUCCUUUGUUCCACUUCACUCGCUCCUGUACGUCCGCGACUAGAUCGCUACAUAUCCCAUUCUACCCAGUCCGUACUAGAACUGGUAUGGUUUACGCCCAGACUUGGUCCCACUGUCCCGUGAUCAAACUCAGACCCGCAUAUCUCGAUCAAAAUCCAUUCAUCGCUCAGUAUCCAGACGGUCUGCCGAUUGAACACGAACCACCAGUACACGGCGCCGAUCUGCACAGACUAAGCCGACAGACUCUAUUCUGUGGCUUACGCACGGUCCCACGGUCAGUAUCCGCCGUAUACCUCAGUAACCCGACCCGUUCCAUCAUUCAGUACACGGCUUGCCUUCAACGACUCAGACUACGCCGCACGCACCAUCGCUCUAUAGCCGGACAGUCAGAUUAGGACCCGAUCAGCCCUUCUCCGUGCACUUCAUCCCUCUCGGUGCUUCUCUCUAUUUUUCUCUGUAUAUUCUCUCUCGGAACCGUGUCCAGAAAAGAUGUGCCCUUUCUGAUUCCCGAAAAUCAGAUUAAAUCAGUGGUUGGACGGUUUCCACUCCAAAACCGUCAGUCCACAACCGCUCCCGCGCCCCUUCAGUCCGUAACCGUCCUAGACGGUUUUCUCCCUCGGCCAACUGCCUUGUCGGUUUCUCCAUAACUCCCUGCAGUUCCAACUGCUCUAUAACAGCCUUAGCGGUUUAUGUCUCAACCGUCCCAGUCGGUUAGGCGUAUAGGAACUGCUCCUCUAACCGGCCUGGUAAACUGUUCCGAAACUGCUUAGUAACCGUUCCGGUAACCGCCUUGUAACCGCUUCGCUAACUGCUUACUAACCGCUCCAGUAACCACUCAGUAACCGCCUCGGAUAACCGUUCCCAUCAGUUUCCUUAGCUUUCCAGUACACGUUCAGUUCAGUACAUGUUCCCCAACAGAACGUAUAUCCAGUCAGUCCUUACAUAGACUAACUGAUCUCGGAAGACAAGUCCAGCUGCCUUGUCUGAAUCCGUCCAUCUUAGUCCGACAAGCUCAACUGCUAUGUUCGGACAGACAUUAUCGUCUUAACCUGACUAGUACUAUCCCGAUGACAUGUCCAACAUGUCUGUCCCGUCUGAUCAGUCCGACCUUGGACUGAUCCAGUUCAGACUGCAAAACGGGGAUGCUACAAGUCUCCCCCACUUGGAAUGAAUUCGUCCUCGAAUUCAGCAGUUAAUAGAACUUUGUUCUACCCAAUCAGAUCAGUCUCCCCCACUUGGAAUGAAUCCCAACAGAUGACACUCAUGCCUUAACUGUAUUCUCAAACUUUCGGUCACUCGACCAUUACUGUGUUCCAGACUUCCUGAUCACAAUCACAUUUUGAUUUGAUCUCAGAUAUAUAUUAUUCGAUCCGGUCUCUUUGCCAUUUUUUUUUAUUAACAGACUAUGUUCAGUGUACCAACUCACUAAGCAUAGUAGUUCUAACUUCCGAGAAAUCUCUGGGUGUUUGGGCACACACUUUGGUGAGAACAUAACUCCCAACAGUGUUGACUAGUUUACCUCAAUUCUCGAAGUUUAAACUCACUACCUUAGCUAAGUUUUCCAGUGUUUUCUUUAACCAGUCACAGUCAUUCACUAACCUAACCUUAGUCCUUCUAGGACUCAGUCCAAACGAGUCUCUGUCCAUCCUGACUUGACUGUUUGAUUUUCGCACUCCAGUGUUCCUUAGCAUGGCCUAACUCCGAAUACUAGGAACUUAAUCUUUUCAGAAUGCAUGAAUCUUAUCUUGGUCCUAACAGUGGUUUCCUCGGAUCACUCCCUGAUUCUAACCAGUCCCUGACCACUUAUGAUCGACAACUGUUCUUUUCAAAUCUUUACUGAUUUUUAUUGACACCUCCGGAUCAUUUUUGAUCCUUACAGACAUUUCUUACCGGACCCUACACUUGAUCCUUUGCACAGUUUUUCCUUUCGGACUCUCAGUCCUUCCCGGUUCACAUUUCGAAAAUGUAAACUCAUCUAGUUCCCAUUGACUCAGUCACAGUUAUGUCUUAGAAAACUCAACAGUUCUCAAUAACAUCAGUUCAUUAUACUAAACAGACAGACGUCCUACAGACAUGUGAUGGCAAUCUCUCACUAGUUCCCAUCCAUGCUUUCAUCGCGAUCGAAAACCCACAGUAGUGAACUCCUUGAGUUCCAGUGACAGUACAGUUAUGUCUUGGAAGGUACAUCUCCCACAGACAUCAGAUUGGGUUUCCGCAGACUAUAAUACAGACACGCGAUGGCGAGCUAAUAUGGUUCCCACCGAUGCGAUAACAGUUACGUCUUGGUAACCCUUUGGUUCUCACAGACGUCAAGACAGAACACACGAUGACAGACAGUCACGCCUUGGAAACUCUCGGUUUCCAUAGACACCAGAACCGACAGUAUCAGUACAGUUAUGCCUUAGCAAACCCACUCGGUUCCUAAGGACAUAUCAUCAACACUAACACUAAUGUUUCAGCAUUCCCACUUGUCUAGUUAAACAGAAACUUAGUCUGGUCUGGCAUUAUCAUUCCAAGUCAUCGAGCAGCCGUCCAGCAAUCCAGCUAAGUCUAAAUGAGCAUCUCAGCCAUAAGAACCUAGACUGAUCUAGACUCUCGCAUGAAAGGAAUCAAUAAUCUAAACUCAGAUGAUCGUCCUAAAUCUUCGAGCCAUCAUCAAAAAUCCAGCAAGCCUUAGCAAGCAUCACAGCCCCUAAGUACAUUGCCUGAUGUAGACGCUCCUGGUAAGAACCGAUCAUUUACUACUUUUUGAAACUCUGACCACAACUCAUCAUCUAUAGCAUCUUGUACCUCCGAGUAGUUUCUUGAUCACUUAACAAGUCUUUGGCGAGUACACCUGACUUCCAAUCUCUUGUUCCGAUGAUCUCAACUCUCGGACCGCACAAUCCUACUAGGAAAAUCAAGCUUAGUCAACCUUAACAAUUCCCUUGUCCAGUUCUUAUAUCCAUACUUGCGUACACUCACCACUUUCUAAGUGUAAGUCUUACUCAGAUUUUCCAAAAAUCUUUUUAUGAAACUUCCAGUUUGAUUUUCCCAUACCAGCUUGUCCUUUACCUUGAAAAUCUUAGGAUCCGUCUAAGCAUUCUCAACAUAUGUUCCAUUCGAAUAUAAGUCUCCGUACCUCACAUUCCAGCAUCAGUGCCUUAGCCAUUUGUCCUUAGGCUCUUCCAUGGACGAAUUGUCCAAUUCAGUUUUCCGAUUCUCUGACUCUUUCAGGUUAUCUCUUAGCAAUCCAUCUAUCGCUUAGCCAGUUCAUUGAGAUUCCAUCUCAAUCCUCGGACCACCCGUCCAACUUUGUUUCCGUUCACAACCUUCAGCUCAUCCACUUGGCUAUUCUGCCUUGAACCUUUCCGCUGAAGUCUUCUUUCCAGAUUCAGUUAUGGACAUCAUGUCCAUACUGAGUUAAACUCAUUAACUCCUUGUCUUCCUCGAGCCACUUGAUUCAAUCCUAACUCCAGUCAGCUUCAGAAUACACAUCGUCAAUCUUUCCCAUUUCUUCACUUCAGAAUUCGGAUCCAUUGACUUAAAUAAACCUCUCGGUUGUUUCCAAUACUUAGAAAAAAUUUAUUGGAUAACUCCCUUGAGUUAUCCAGAACACCUUAAGCAAUCGAAUCAGUCUCCAAAAGAUCUUAACUCAGACUUCAUUCCAGCAAUAUGAUCAUUCACCAAUGAUCUUAGCUCCAGCUUCUUUCCAGUUAGACUUCUAACUUACAUUUGCCCAUACAAAGUGUAAGUCCGACUUGAUCACUCCCAAGAUCAAGUCUCUCAUCAGUUCUCCAAUACUCGCCCUUAGCAUUUUCCGCGUCUGUUCGGUCUAGACAAAUCUUGUAUCAUCCUUCAAAAUCUGUCCUAGAACCGUAAUCGCUCUGAUACCACUUGAAAGGCCCUGACCCAGUUUUCCUUACCGCCAGUACGACCCCAGUUCGCUUCCCUCGACCAAAUAAGGUCGAGGCCCGAUUUCUCCCAACACUUAGGAUUUUUAUCUAAUUUUCCUCUAUGAGGUUCAGUUCAGUUCACAGUGUUCGCUAAAUCUAUCCGGCAUCCUAGCAAUUCACUAAGACUGACAGUAUUAUAAACAUGUACCUUACUUCCUUGGUUGUCUACUUGACCAUCCAUACACUCCUGCCUUGCUAUCUUCAUGCUUCCCAUCCUUCUUAUCCAGCCAGCUCGAUCAGAUAUUUAACCGAAUCCUCUUGUUCCUUAGUCACUCAGCCAACCAUCCCCACGUGACAAGUAAACAGACGAAACGGCUUGGUCUCCGACCAGCCAUCCAGUACAGAUAGUACGCCAGUCUUGCUAGUGUUCCAGAACCAGUCACUGAUCAAGCCUAGAUCAGUCCGUCCAAACUCAGCCUUACCGGCCUUUAUCUAGUCAGUAACCAUACGCAUCAGCAAACUCGUGCCCCAUGCCAGACGAUCCUCAUCAGUACGUUACCACAUCGUUCCUCCAGUCCUUUGUUCCACUUCACUCGCUCCUGUACGUCCGCGACUAGAUCGCUACAUAUCCCAUUCUACCCAGUCCGUACUAGAACUGGUACGGUUUACGCCCAGACUUGGUCCCACUGUCCCGUGAUCAAACUCAGACCCGCAUAUCUCGAUCAAAAUCCAUUCAUCGCUCAGUAUCCAGACGGUCUGCCGAUUGAACACGAACCACCAGUACACGGCGCCGAUCUGCACAGACUAAGCCGACAGACUCUAUUAUGUGGCUUGCGCACGGUCCCACGGUCAGUAUCCGCCGUAUACCUCAGUAACCCGACCCGUUCCAUCAUUCAGUACACGGCUUGCCUUCAACGACUCAGACUACGCCGCACGCACCAUCGCUCUAUAGCCGGACAGUCAGAUUAGGACCCGAUCAGCCCUUCUCCGUGCACUUCAUCCCUCUCGGUGCUUCUCUCUAUUUUUCUCUGUAUAUUCUCUCUCGGAACCGUGUCCAGAAAAGAUGUACCCUUUCUGAUUCCCGAAAAUCAGAUUAAAUCAGUGGUUGGACGGUUUCCACUCCAAAACCGUCAGUCCACAACCGCUCCCGCGCCCCUUCAGUCCGUAACCGUCCUGGACGGUUUUCUCCCUCGGCCAACUGCCUUGUCGGUUUCUCCAUAACUCCCUGCAGUUCCAACUGCUCUAUAACAGCCUUAGCGGUUUAUGUCUCAACCGUCCCAGUCGGUUAGGCGUAUAGGAACUGCUCCUCUAACCGGCCUGGUAAACUGUUCCGAAACUGCUUAGUAACCGUUCCGGUAACCGCCUUGUAACCGCUUCGCUAACUGCUUACUAACCGCUCCAGUAACCACUCAGUAACCGCCUCGGAUAACCGUUCCCAUCAGUUUCCUUAGCUUUCCAGUACACGUUCAGUUCAGUACAUGUUCCCCAACAGAACGUAUAUCCAGUCAGUCCUUACAUAGACUAACUGAUCUCGGAAGACAAGUCCAGCUGCCUUGUCUGAAUCCGUCCAUCUUAGUCCGACAAGCUCAACUGCUAUGUUCGGACAGACAGUAUCGUCUUAACCUGACUAGUACUAUCCCGAUGACAUGUCCAACAUGUCUGUCCCGUCUGAUCAGUCCGACCUUGGACUGAUCCAGUUCAGACUGCAAAACGGGGAUGCUACAAGUCUCCCCCACUUGGAAUGAAUUCGUCCUCGAAUUCAGCAGUUAAUAGAACUUUGUUCUACCCAAUCAGAUCAGUCUCCCCCACUUGGAAUGAAUCCCAACAGAUGACACUCAUGCCUUAACUGUAUUCUCAAACUUUCGGUCACUCGACCAUUACUGUGUUCCAGACUUCCUGAUCACAAUCACAUUUUGAUUUGAUCUCAGAUAUAUAUUAUUCGAUCCGGUCUCUUUGCCAUUUUUUUUUAUUAACAGACUAUGUUCAGUGUACCAACUCACUAAGCAUAGUAGUUCUAACUUCCGAGAAAUCUCUGGGUGUUUGGGCACACACUUUGGUGAGAACAUAACUCCCAACAGUGUUGACUAGUUUACCUCAAUUCUCGAAGUUUAAACUCACUACCUUAGCUAAGUUUUCCAGUGUUUUCUUUAACCAGUCACAGUCAUUCACUAACCUAACCUUAGUCCUUCUAGGACUCAGUCCAAACGAGUCUCUGUCCAUCCUGACUUGACUGUUUGAUUUUCGCACUCCAGUGUUCCUUAGCAUGGCCUAACUCCGAAUACUAGGAACUUAAUCUUUUCAGAAUGCAUGAAUCUUAUCUUGGUCCUAACAGUGGUUUCCUCGGAUCACUCCCUGAUUCUAACCAGUCCCUGACCACUUAUGAUCGACAACUGUUCUUUUCAAAUCUUUACUGAUUUUUAUUGACACCUCCGGAUCAUUUUUGAUCCUUACAGACAUUUCUUACCGGACCCUACACUUGAUCCUUUGCACAGUUUUUCCUUUCGGACUCUCAGUCCUUCCCGGUUCACAUUUCGAAAAUGUAAAUUCAUCUAGUUCCCAUUGACUCAGUCACAGUUAUGUCUUAGAAAACUCAACAGUUCUCAAUAACAUCAGUUCAUUAUACUAAACAGACAGACGUCCUACAGACAUGUGAUGGCAAUCUCUCACUUGUUCCCAUCCAUGAUUUCAUCGCGAUCGAAAACCCACAGUAGUGAACUCCUUGAGUUCCAGUGACAGUACAGUUAUGUCUUGGAAGGUACAUCUCCCACAGACAUCAGAUUGGGUUUCCGCAGACUAUAAUACAGACACGCGAUGGCGAGCUAAUAUGGUUCCCACCGAUGCGAUAACAGUUACGUCUUGGUAACCCUUUGGUUCUCACAGACGUCAAGACAGAACACACGAUGACAGACAGUCACGCCUUGGAAACUCUCGGUUUCCAUAGACGCCAGAACCGACAGUAUCAGUACAGUUAUGCCUUAGCAAACCCACUCGGUUCCUAAGGACAUAUCAUCAACACUAACACUAAUGUUUCAGCAUUCCCACUUGUCUAGUUAAACAGAAACUUAGUCUGGUCUGGCAUUAUCAUUCCAAGUCAUCGAGCAGCCGUCCAGCAAUCCAGCUAAGUCUAAAUGAGCAUCUCAGCCAUAAGAACCUAGACUGAUCUAGACUCUCGCAUGAAAGGAAUCAAUAAUCUAAACUCAGAUGAUCGUCCUAAAUCUUCGAGCCAUCAUCAAAAAUCCAGCAAGCCUUAGCAAGCAUCACAGCCCCUAAGUACAUUGCCUGAUGUAGACGCUCCUGGUAAGAACCGAUCAUUUACUACUUUUUGAAACUCUGACCACAACUCAUCAUCUAUAGCAUCUUGUACCUCCGAGUAGUUUCUUGAUCACUUAACAAGUCUUUGGCGAGUACACCUGACUUCCAAUCUCUUGUUCCGAUGAUCUCAACUCUCGGACCGCACAAUCCUACUAGGAAAAUCAAGCUUAGUCAACCUUAACAAUUCCCUUGUCCAGUUCUUAUAUCCAUACUUACGUACACUCACCACUUUCUAAGUGUAAGUCUUACUCAGAUUUUCCAAAAAUCUUUUUAUGAAACUUCCAGUUUGAUUUUCCCAUACCAGCUUGUCCUUUACCUUGAAAAUCUUAGGAUCCGUCUAAGCAUUCUCAACAUAUGUUCCAUUCGAAUAUAAGUCUCCGUACCUCACAUUCCAGCAUCAGUGCCUUAGCCAUUUGUCCUUAGGCUCUUCCAUGGACGAAUUGUCCAAUUCAGUUUUCCGAUUCUCUGACUCUUUCAGGUUAUCUCUUAGCAAUCCAUCUAUCGCUUAGCCAGUUCAUUGAGAUUCCAUCUCAAUCCUCGGACCACCCGUCCAACUUUGUUUCCGUUCACAACCUUCAGCUCAUCCACUUGGCUAUUCUGCCUUGAACCUUUCCGCUGAAGUCUUCUUUCCAGAUUCAGUUAUGGACAUCAUGUCCAUACUGAGUUAAACUCAUUAACUCCUUGUCUUCCUCGAGCCACUUGAUUCAAUCCUAACUCCAGUCAGCUUCAGAAUACACAUCGUCAAUCUUUCCCGUUUCUUCACUUCAGAAUUCGGAUCCAUUGACUUAAAUAAACCUCUCGGUUGUUUCCAAUACUUAGAAAAUAUUUAUUGGAUAACUCCCUUGAGUUAUCCAGAACACCUUAAGCAAUCGAAUCAGUCUCCAAAAGAUCUUAACUCAGACUUCAUUCCAGCAAUAUGAUCAUUCACCAAUGAUCUUAGCUCCAGCUUCUUUCCAGUUAGACUUCUAACUUACAUUUGCCCAUACAAAGUGUAAGUCCGACUUGAUCACUCCCAAGAUCAAGUCUCUCAUCAGUUCUCCAAUACUCGCCCUUAGCAUUUUCCGCGUCUGUUCGGUCUAGACAAAUCUUGUAUCAUCCUUCAAAAUCUGUCCUAGAACCGUAAUCGCUCUGAUACCACUUGAAAGGCCCUGACCCAGUUUUCCUUACCGCCAGUACGACCCCAGUUCGCUUCCCUCGACCAAAUAAGGUCGAGGCCCGAUUUCUCCCAACACUUAGGAUUUUUAUCUAAUUUUCCUCUAUGAGGUUCAGUUCAGUUCACAGUGUUCGCUAAAUCUAUCCGGCAUCCUAGCAAUUCACUAAGACUGACAGUAUUAUAAACAUGUACCUUACUUCCUUGGUUGUCUACUUGACCAUCCAUACACUCCUGCCUUGCUAUCUUCAUGCUUCCCAUCCUUCUUAUCCAGCCAGCUCGAUCAGAUAUUUAACCGAAUCCCCUUGUUCCUUAGUCACUCAGCCAACCAUCCCCACGUGACAAGUAAACAGACGAAACGGCUUGGUCUCCGACCAGCCAUCCAGUACAGAUAGUACGCCAGUCUUGCUAGUGUUCCAGAACCAGUCACUGAUCAAGCCUAGAUCAGUCCGUCCAAACUCAGCCUUACCGGCCUUUAUCUAGUCAGUAACCAUACGCAUCAGCAAACUCGUGCCCCAUGCCAGACGAUCCUCAUCAGUACGUUACCACAUCGUUCCUCCAGUCCUUUGUUCCACUUCACUCGCUCCUGUACGUCCGCGACUAGAUCGCUACAUAUCCCAUUCUACCCAGUCCGUACUAGAACUGGUACGGUUUACGCCCAGACUUGGUCCCACUGUCCCGUGAUCAAACUCAGACCCGCAUAUCUCGAUCAAAAUCCAUUCAUCGCUCAGUAUCCAGACGGUCUGCCGAUUGAACACGAACCACCAGUACACGGCGCCGAUCUGCACAGACUAAGCCGACAGACUCUAUUAUGUGGCUUGCGCACGGUCCCACGGUCAGUAUCCGCCGUAUACCUCAGUAACCCGACCCGUUCCAUCAUUCAGUACACGGCUUGCCUUCAACGACUCAGACUACGCCGCACGCACCAUCGCUCUAUAGCCGGACAGUCAGAUUAGGACCCGAUCAGCCCUUCUCCGUGCACUUCAUCCCUCUCGGUGCUUCUCUCUAUUUUUCUCUGUAUAUUCUCUCUCGGAACCGUGUCCAGAAAAGAUGUACCCUUUCUGAUUCCCGAAAAUCAGAUUAAAUCAGUGGUUGGACGGUUUCCACUCCAAAACCGUCAGUCCACAACCGCUCCCGCGCCCCUUCAGUCCGUAACCGUCCUGGACGGUUUUCUCCCUCGGCCAACUGCCUUGUCGGUUUCUCCAUAACUCCCUGCAGUUCCAACUGCUCUAUAACAGCCUUAGCGGUUUAUGUCUCAACCGUCCCAGUCGGUUAGGCGUAUAGGAACUGCUCCUCUAACCGGCCUGGUAAACUGUUCCGAAACUGCUUAGUAACCGUUCCGGUAACCGCCUUGUAACCGCUUCGCUAACUGCUUACUAACCGCUCCAGUAACCACUCAGUAACCGCCUCGGAUAACCGUUCCCAUCAGUUUCCUUAGCUUUCCAGUACACGUUCAGUUCAGUACAUGUUCCCCAACAGAACGUAUAUCCAGUCAGUCCUUACAUAGACUAACUGAUCUCGGAAGACAAGUCCAGCUGCCUUGUCUGAAUCCGUCCAUCUUAGUCCGACAAGCUCAACUGCUAUGUUUGGACAGACAGUAUCGUCUUAACCUGACUAGUACUAUCCCGAUGACAUGUCCAACAUGUCUGUCCCGUCUGAUCAGUCCGACCUUGGACUGAUCCAGUUCAGACUGCAAAACGGGGAUGCUACAUUAUGCCCCUUGAUCUCUGUAAAAUCCAAAUAGUUUUGUCAGAGAUUAUUUAUAAUUGCUCUAAAACUCUGACCACCACAAGAAUAAUGACAUGUACGACCAUGUACAAUGGUUUUCAGAUUCAACACCCUCCACUUUAUCUUUUAACACUUCACCUCAUCUUCUCUUUCUUCUAUGUAAUCAUUCAACACACAUUCAACACACAUCCUAUUUACUAAUUAAUAAUUACUUUUAUAUAUCCAAAUUAAAUAAAUCUAAUUUCUAUUUAUAGAAAAAAUUAAAUGAUAAAUUAUCGUAUAAAAUAUAAAAAUAAAGUAUUUAAUUUAUAAUGUGAAUAUUGGUUUUAAAUAAGGGUCUGAUUGGUAAUGGCUGUAGCUUUAAAAAUUUUGUUGUAGAAAAAAAUCUGUAGAUUUUUUGCUGUGGCUUUAGAAUUUAUUGCUGUAGAAUUUUAUUGAAAGCACUAAAAAAUUGCUUUGGAUAUUUGGCUCUGCAGAGCACUUGUACAGCUGUAGGUUAUUUUAAGAGCUGUGGUUUUAAAAAAUAAUUUAAAGCUUGAUUGCUCUGAAUUUGGUGCUGUAGAAAUAAAUAGGGCUGUGGACAUCACCUACAGCAACUACCAAUCACCCCCUAAGUAAGAGAAAAUCAAAAAAUCAAAAAUUUUCAAAAAAGUGACAUGUGUCAUCGGUGGAUUCACUUUCUUCUUAUUCAACAUGUUGAAUAUUUUCAACACCCACAUAAUUUACAUCAUCAAAUUUUAUUUUUCUAACACCUUCGUUAUAGUGAUUCAACAGUCUUUUAUUCUAAGCCAACUUAGAUACAUGAAUUUCAUCGUUCUAUCGAUAAGAUAGUAUCAUAAGCCAACUUUUUUUUAUAAUACUUUUUCUCUUGGGUUUUAACAACAGUCAGUCAGUCACAAAGUUUUAUAAUGUUAAAACGUCUGCUAGAUUUAUACCGAUGACUAUUGACUGCAAUUCGAAGUUGACCACUAAACCCCCACAAAUAAUAGUCUUUAACUUAUGGACUAUCUAUACGAUUACGAAAUAACACGUAUAAAUGUUUCGUUUAGAUUGCCCUACACAUCACUAAUAAUAAAAAAUUAUACACUAUUGUCAUUAUUCCUGUGGUGGUCAGAGUUUUAGUCAAUUGUUUUAUGCCAUAUGAGAGGCGUACGACAAAUCAAAUCAUACGAGUUAGAUUAAAUCACGAGGGGAUAUAUGUCAGAUUCAUGAACUUCGUCUAUUUCGUUUUUCUCAUUAUUCAUAAUUUUUUUUAGUUUAAAUAAACAGUAAACGACGAGUUUAGAUCCGCGUAGGGCUUAUAUUCCAACUCAGAUUGCUUACCAGUCCAAAGUUCCUAUGUCACUAGACUAUCAAAUGUUUUUUUCGUUAUUCAUUUACAUCACGAUUCGGCAUAUUUACAAAGUUAACAUAUCUUUCAAUAUCCAUAAAACACGAAGGAUAUACUAAAAAGAGAAUUUCCUUUUCUCUUGUAACCAAGGGAAUUUAUUUUUGAGCUUAUUUGCAUACUAACCAAUCUAGCAGUAGAAAUUAAGUAAUUGUCAUUAACUUUGAUGCAAUGUAUAAUCUAACUUUUAUGCCAAAAAUCAUAUGAUUUUACAUAUUGCUUUUGUAAUUACUUGGUAACCAUAUGCAGGAAGAACUGACGUGCCCAUAGAACAUAUGGUGUGGAAACUCAAAACUAUUCCAUAUGAACAAAGAAGAGUCAGCCACGUCAACAUGAUAUUUACCUCAUUUAUAUUUAUUAUAGGCAGUGAGAUGAGUUAUUUAAAAUAUAAAAAUGUUACAAUAAACGGUUUAUUUUAUUAAACAACAUAUUUAUGCACCGUUGUAUUCCAUAUCACUGAAGUACUAUAAGAUUAUAAUCUCAUCCACAAACCCUAAAUACUAAACAUUACUCCAAUCCUAAACGCUAACCCCAUAUAAUAUUUUAUAAUAUUAAACUACACUAUAUACAAAUGGAAAAUAUAAUAGACUUGUGAAUUAAAAUUAUUUGUUUGGGUGUGGUUAACAAAAUGAUAAAAUUGAGUUUAUAAAUCACUUCUACCGGUGUGCUGUGGUUAACGUAUAAACCAAUAUUAUAUUAAUGAUACAACUUCAGAACAUAAUACAUGUUUUAUUUACGGUAAAAUCAAAUUUCUAUUAUACAUUAGUCAAAUAGAAUAGAACAAAAAAUAUUACAUUGGAACUUUUAAAGAAGGUGAAGAGACUAUGGGUGGUGAAGUGAAAGAGGAGAGGACACGUUGCAGCGAUGAAACAAUUAUGGUAGUGCUAAUGUUACAGGUGGAGUGACAAGAAACAUAACACAUAUCAUGCUACAUAUCUAUUUUAUAUGUAUAAUAGAGAAAAAUAAUAAUCGGUCAUCUUCUCUGAUCUUUUAUCACAUACACAAAUAACCAAUACAAAAUAAUAGAAUAUAACAUCUAUAAAUAGUAUAGUCUCUUUCUGAUUCACGGUAUUCGACACCCUUGUGGCCAGAGUUGAUUUUCAAUAAUGUAUCCAUGCAACAUUUCCAAAUGCUCGUUAUCAAACGGCGGCCGUGGUUAUGUCAAUGUUACAUGGUAGUGGUGGUGAUGUCAAUGAAAUAACUGGUGGUGGUGGUGAUGAUGGUGGUGAUGUCCAUGUUAAAUGUGGAAUAAUAACAAACACAGUAUAUAUAACGUUUCAUUUCAAUUUUUUCUAAACUUUUGGAAGACAUACAAGUAAAAAAAAUAUAUUGGAGACAAAAAUUAUAAAACAGCGCACAUACAUAGGAGACGGAUUGAAAACAUAAAAUGUUACAUAAUUUUUUCUAGGCCUAGGCAAAAUAACCGGAACCGAAGAACCGAACCGGAACCGAACCGAAAUACCCGAAACCGGAACCGGACCAAUAUCCUCAAAUACCCGAACGGUUGCUAUAUUUUUAUAUCCGAAAUAACCGAACCGAAUCGGAACCGAACUGAAAACCGAACGGAUACCUGAAUAUAUAAAAAUAUUAAUUAUAUAUAAAUAUAACAUAACUAAAUAUAUUUUUUUAAUUUAAAAUUCUAUUAAAAGUAUCUGAAAAUAGUUGAGGAUAACUAAAUUAUUAUAAAAUAUCUGAACUACCCGAAAGUAUCCGAAACUAUCAGGAUAGUUUUAUCCGAAAUAUCUGAAAUUUUUAUCUAAAUCAUCCUAAUUAUUUGAUAUUUUACUCUAAAUAACCGAUAUUUUAUCCAAAUUAUCCGAAUUACCCGAACUAUCCGAACCGGAUCCAAAUGAGAACCGAACUUUUUUGGAUAUUUUCCGGUUCCUACAUUUACUAUCCGAACCGAAACUAUCUGAACCGAAAAUAGGUCAAGUACUAAAUGGAUACUUUAGUCCCUAUCCGAACUACCCGAAACCCGAAACUCGAAAUACCCAAACCGAACCGAUACCCGAAAUGCCCAUGCCUAGUUUUUCAUUGGCACUAUUAAAACAUGAUCCAAACCUAAAACCAAUAAACCAGACAUCCAAACUUCCUAUUUGUCAUUCAAUAUCCAACAUUUUCUAGCUAAUCAACAUUAUUUUGCGCUUCUUUUGUACAGAGCAAAGAUCGUAUAAAGAACCGAAAGACAAACGAUCAAAAGGAGAGUGGGACACGAUCAAAAGGAGAGUGGGAUCCUAUGAGAUCUUGGGAACACCAACCAGUCACGAUUAAAAUUUGUAUUAUAUGUAUGAUAUGAUGGACAUAGAGAGAGACUUCCAUAUAUAACCAAUUAGGCGAUUUCCACCCAUUUCUACUUUCAUUUCUAUAUUUUUCAUUAAAAUAUAAAAAAAUAUUAUAAAGAUGAAUUUAUUCUAAUGUAUCUUUCUAAAAAUAGAAAAUUUUAGACUAUUUUAAUCAUCUCUAUAUUUAUCUUUACUUCUUUAAUAGAAAAAUUCUAUUAUAAAAUUAAAUUAUUUUCAAUGUGUUACUUUAUUUUUUUCACUACGUUGUUCGGCCAGAUCUGAUGUCCCUUUAAAAUAAAAUGAUUCUAAGUAAGUUAAAUUUCAAUUUUACUUUAUUUAAAUUAGAAAAUAGAGUAAUGUAUAAAUAAAUAAAUGAAUUACUAAUUUUUAAAGUAAUUUUAUUUAUUACUCUAUUAUAAAGUGAAAUUGAUUUUUUAUUCUAAACUUCAUUUUAGAGUGAAAGGUGAAAUGAGAACAAAAGUGCAAUUAUUGUCCAAAAUUACUAGUAUAUCGGGUAGCGAUAAAACUUACGGAAAGAUUAACAAUUUUGUAACGCUUCCGACUGUCCAUGACUAAUGGACUUCCCAUGCCCGCUUACUCGGUUUGUGGAUCCCAUUCUAUGUGGAUUCUAUGUGCUUUGACUUUAUUUGCACGGUAUCGCAAAUCACUUCAUAAUAUGUCACUCAUGAUUCUACUAAUCCAGCUCAAGCACACUUAACUUUAAAUUUUUUUAUGGAUAUGUGUUAAAAAAUGUAAGUACACUUUGAUGACAUAGGUAGAUAAAUUAAUUCUAUUAAGCAUUUCAAAAAUACCAAAACUCGAAUGUUACAACUCACCCUCUCUCAAAGAACGCAACAUAUUCAUGGCUAAUGGGCCUCCCAUGCUACAAAGAAUGUUACAAGAUUGUUAUCCUUGUUAAUGUGAACCCAAACAUGAUUCAACACUCGUCUGGAUUGGGAUUUAAUACCACUUGUGACGCCAUGGCCGCCCAUGGCUAAUGGACCUCCCACGCUCGCUCACUCGGCAUGUGGACUAGAUUUCGUGUGACGGACGGUGCAUUAAUUUUUUGUAGAGCUCAAACGUCUUGUUUUACUGACCAUGCAAUCACCACAUGAUUUUUCCCGUACUUUACACUUAGUCACACGAUAUUGUGAAUCACUUUUCGAUAGGUCAUGCAUCCUUUCACUACUCCAACUCAUGAAUACUUAAUUUUAAAGUUAUUUUUGAAUGUGUGAUCGAAAUGGUAAGUACACUUUGAUGACACUUGUAACCUAAUAAAUUUUAUUAAACCUUUCAGAUAUACUACAAAUCGGAAUGUUACAAAAAAUUAAAACUCAUUUUACAAGAAAAAAUUAUAUAGGUAGUCUUCUAACUUUUCGUACUUCAAAUUACCAUUUAUUAAGAAAUAUGAGUUUUAGUAAAUAAAGAAAAAAGAAAUAUACCUUAUGGAAAUGAGAGAGAGAUUUCUUAUGUUUGACAAAAGCCUAACCAACCAUUUUUUUAAUAACGAAAGGUCAUUCUAUUACCCAAACUUGAGGUAGUCCGGGCAACCAGACCAUAAUAAAACAACCAACAACGUGAAGCUCUCUAUGGAAAGAUCUUGCCAUCCUAGCUAAAGAGUCAGAAAUCUGAUUUUGUGCUCAUAGAAUGUGAGUAAUCUUGAAGUCUGGGAAACAUAACUGCAAAGUCUCUAUCCUCUCCAGUUUUGUUGCAAAACUUGGCCAAUCUUGUGGCUCCUUAAGUAUGGUGAUCAAGUCUUUGCAGUCUGUUCCAAAGCUCUGACAUGUCGAAUAUUUCAUCAUGCUCUCCAUCGCCCAUCUCAAUACUUCUACUUCUGAGUGAAGAGGAGACUCUCUUCGACUAUAAUUUUGUGUCCCCAUGAGUUGAACCUUCCCCAAGUUAUCCAUCCACGCCCAUCCACACCCGCUGAACUGUGAAGUAGAUGUCCAUGACCCGUCUAUCAUGCAGAUAUUACUCAAGCUUAAGACUUGAGGUUCAUCACUACUAUGGUCUUGUGGAGUUGGUUGCCUCAUCUCAUUUGCAUUGAACCAGGCCUAACCAACCUGUAAAUGUUUAUCUUUAUGAUCUUAUUUCUCCACUUUAUAUUAUUUCCUAUAGUAUAUAUAGAUAUAUUAAAUUGAAUAUAUACUUUCAUACAUAAUUGGUUGGUACCAUAGCCAAACCAACCAAUAAAAUUUUACUUAAUUGUUUUAUCUUAAUUCAAUAUGUAAUGAAAGUACACUAGAAUUUAAUGAUAAGUUAUUUUACGACGUUUAUUGACUGAUCAAAGGAUCGACCGAGCUUCCAGACUCAAUCAAAACUUGAGUGCCUCGCAGGUGCUGAUUGUGAGUUUCAGAGGCGUGCCUACAGUGUAUUGAAAAAGGCAUUUGCCUCAGACCCCCGAUUAAUAUGACUAUUUUUAGGGUUCUAAAAUUUAAAAUAAUUUAUAGUCUAGUGGUUUAAACUUAUUUAAGAAAAAAACAUUUCUACGAAAAUUAAUUAACUCAUUUUCUGAAUUCAUGUAUUUUUUUCUAUAUAAUAUAUUCUUGUUAUAAACUUAUUUUUUUACAGUAUUAGACUUGUGUAUUUGGUGAAAAUAAUAUAUCAUAUUAAAAAAUUAUUUUUAUUACAGUUGUAAAGAAGUUUAUUUUUAGAACUUGCCUUAGGUCCCUAAAACUCUUCUCACGGCACUGGUUCCACCAUUAGAGGAUUGUUAUGCGUCGUAUCGAUGUCGGUGGUGUACACUUCGGAGAAUGCGGCUGGAAGCAAUCCUCUGGAUUGGUAGAGUACUUUUUUUGUUGUUGUUGUUUCCUUUCCUGGUACUCCUUUACCAACCUCACUGAUUCUUUGCAUAUGAUCCUUCAAAGAUCAAAUUUAUACGGCGAGGAUUUUUGGACUGCUCUUUCUUGCUUCAUUUGCCUUGACUGAUUUUCUCUCUCAAAUCCUCAAGUUUUGAGUGGUUAAGCUAUUCCCUCAAAUAUGUGGUCUCAGAGGUGUAUUGACCAUUUGUGCUAAUGUUUAAUGUUUUGGCGAAGAUCGCUUGUGCCGAGAUUAGUAAGAGAAUUAUUCUGAUCAUUCAUGCCUAGUUUUUGGCGACUAUCAAAAUUUUCAGGUUGGCUGACUGAUGCGUCCCAGUUGUUCGUGUUGAGUUUUAUGAGAACCUCGGUAGUGUUAGCCGACUGAACUGGGUGAUAGUGAUUGUUGUUCACAAAACUGGCUCUGUCUUUGCCAAUUUUCUUUUGAGUUUAUCAUGCAGAUUUUGGGUGCAUGAACUCUCUUCUGAUGACGAGGAUGAUGAUUACAUUGAUACGCCGAGUGAUCUGUGAUCUUUAUUCAUCCAAAGCCGGGUCAUCACGCCGAGGUGGAGCGGAUACAUCUUGAUCUUUGGGUUGAUCCACUUGGGAUGGCCUUGGGACUUAUUGCAAUUUUUAUAUCUGCUUUUUCAAGCUUUUCUUAUUUUUGACAAGCUUUUGUUACGGUUGGGCGUUAAUAUUUCUUUGUUGAACGCCGUCAUGAGUGUAUCAUGGAGUAACCUUGAUUGUUUGGUAUCA